UCAAAGUUUGAUUCUAGCUUUAAGUUUAAAUUAAAGAUUAAUUUACAUGUAAAUAUUUAUGUUAUAAACAAUUUUUCUAAAUGAAAAUUAAUACAAACACAGUAUAUAAUAUUAUAUAUUAAAAUUAUUAGAUAUAGUAAUUUUUAUUAAGAAUAGACUAAGUUCGUGCCAGCAGUCGCGGUUAUACGAUAUAUUCAAUUUAAACAGUUAAGUUUCAAUUACAAAAUAUUUUGAUAUAAUAAUUUAUUAAUUUUGGUGAAAUAUAUUUAUAAUAUUAUUCAUAUUUUUAUGUUUGAGAAACUUUUUUAUUAGACUAGGAUUAGAUACCCUUUUAUUGAAAGCGUAAAAUAUUAAAAUUUGAUUAUUAUUAGUUAUGACCUUAAAAUUCAAAGAAUUUGGCGGUAAUUUAUCUUUUCAGAGGAAUCUGUUUUGUAAUUGAUAAUCCACGAUAGAUUUAACUUUAAAUAUACUUGUAUAUCUCUGUCAGGAAUGUUCUUUAAGGAAAUUUUCAUUUAUUAUAUAUAUGUAAUGUCAGGUCAAGGUGCAGUUUAUUUUAAAGUAAAAAUGGAUUACAUUUUCAUAUUAUUAGAUUAUAUUCUUGUGAGAAUAUUAUGAAAUAGGAUUUGAUAGUAAAUUUAUUAAAUUAAAUUUUUUGAAUAAAGCUCUAAAUUAUGUACACAUCGCCCGUCACUCUCAUUUUAAAGUGAGAUAAGUCGUAACAAAGUAGCUGUACCGGAAGGUGUGGCUAGAAUGC
RNAcentral lists this non-coding RNA (754 nucleotides) under Okanagana oregona. Lineage: Eukaryota; Metazoa; Arthropoda; Insecta; Hemiptera; Cicadidae. The record is from RNAcentral.